UUAUCUUACACUCUUAAAAACAUAUUGGUUAAAAAUAACUUUAGCCCCAAACAUAGCAACAUGUAGGCUUACCCUUUCUGGAACAUUUAUGUAGGCCUACCUUUUACAAAUAAUUCACAAAAAGGCCUAAACAGUAAUGUGUCACUCAAAUGUUGUUGGGGGAGGGGAUUUUGGAGCAACCGUUACUUUUUUCUUCAAGUCAACUUCAGUCCUCACUCACUCACCAAGUGAUGCAGCAACUUUCAACAGAGGAGCUUCUGGAGUGUGAGAGAAAACACGUUUGUAGGAUGGAAUAAUCUUUGUGGAAGAGGAGGCACAGCUAUUCAGAGGGUUCCCUCCAAUGCAGAAUAUGGGCAGAAUAAGUGCUAACAAUGAAGUACCUGUCCAGAAGGAUCUAACAGCUAUAUCUUUCCCGAGUCUCUCUAUUUCAUCAAGACAAAAGUCCAUGUCUCUUUGAGAGGUCUGUGGAGAGAUGACAAUCAUGCGGAAGAAGUUGACCUGUCCAUUCAAUGGUUGAUAUCCCACCAUCAUUGUUCCCUCCUUCACCAUUUGUUCCUUUAUGGUUGGGGCCACCUGCCAAUAAAGAUUUGUGGCGUUA
Alosa alosa (allis shad) is the source of this 598-nucleotide long non-coding RNA. RefSeq lists it as uncharacterized. The record is from RefSeq and is a predicted model, not a curated record. NCBI's taxonomy places the organism in Eukaryota, Metazoa, Chordata, Actinopteri, Clupeiformes, Clupeidae. The transcript has 3 exons.